CUCAGGACGAACGCUGCCGGCGUGCUUAACACAUGCAAGUCGAGCGAGACUUCGGUCUCGCGGCGAACGGGUGAGUAACACGUGGGCAACCUGCCCCGAGCUCUGGGAUAACUCCGGGAAACCGGGGCUAAUACCGGAUAUGACUCAAGAAGACAUCUUCUUGAGUGGAAAGUUUUUCGGCUCGGGAUGGGCCCGCGGCCUAUCAGCUUGUUGGUGGGGUAACGGCCUACCAAGGCGACGACGGGUAGCCGGCCUGAGAGGGCGACCGGCCACACUGGGACUGAGACACGGCCCAGACUCCUACGGGAGGCAGCAGUGGGGAAUAUUGCGCAAUGGGCGAAAGCCUGACGCAGCGACGCCGCGUGAGGGAUGAAGGCCUUCGGGUUGUAAACCUCUUUCAGCAGGGACGAAGCGAAAGUGACGGUACCUGCAGAAGAAGCACCGGCCAACUACGUGCCAGCAGCCGCGGUAAUACGUAGAGUGCAAGCGUUGUCCGGAAUUAUUGGGCGUAAAGAGCUCGUAGGCGGUCUGUCGCGUCGGCUGUGAAAACCCAGGGCUCAACCCUGGGCCUGCAGUCGAUACGGGCAGACUAGAGUCCGGCAGGGGAGACUGGAAUUCCUGGUGUAGCGGUGAAAUGCGCAGAUAUCAGGAGGAACACCGGUGGCGAAGGCGGGUCUCUGGGCCGGAACUGACGCUGAGGAGUGAAAGCGUGGGGAGCGAACAGGAUUAGAUACCCUGGUAGUCCACGCCCGUAACGUUGGGCGCUAGGUGUGGGGGAACUUCCACGUUCUCCGUGCCGCAGCUAACGCAUUAAGCGCCCCGCCCUGG
This 828-nucleotide ribosomal RNA is filed under the name uncultured bacterium. RNAcentral describes it as "bacterial SSU rRNA". It matches the Rfam family "Bacterial small subunit ribosomal RNA", at positions 23 to 873 of the family's 1533-position model. The record is from RNAcentral.